CCUACGGGGGGCAGCAGUGGGGAAUAUUGCACAAUGGGCGCAAGCCUGAUGCAGCCAUGCCGCGUGUGUGAAGAAGGCCUUCGGGUUGUAAAGCACUUUCAGCGGGGAGGAAGGCGUUAAGGUUAAUAACCUUGGCGAUUGACGUUACCCGCAGAAGAAGCACCGGCUAACUCCGUGCCAGCAGCCGCGGUAAUACGGAGGGUGCAAGCGUUAAUCGGAAUUACUGGGCGUAAAGCGCACGCAGGCGGUCUGUCAAGUCGGAUGUGAAAUCCCCGGGCUCAACCUGGGAACUGCAUUCGAGACUGGCAGGCUAGAGUCUUGUAGAGGGGGGUAGAAUUCCAGGUGUAGCGGUGAAAUGCGUAGAGAUCUGGAGGAAUACCGGUGGCGAAGGCGGCCCCCUGGACAAAGACUGACGCUCAGGUGCGAAAGCGUGGGGAGCAAACAGGAUUAGAUACCCGGGUAGUC
This 465-nucleotide ribosomal RNA is filed under the name uncultured Klebsiella sp. Its description in RNAcentral is "bacterial SSU rRNA". It matches the Rfam family "Bacterial small subunit ribosomal RNA", at positions 338 to 795 of the family's 1533-position model. The record is from RNAcentral. Lineage: Bacteria; Pseudomonadati; Pseudomonadota; Gammaproteobacteria; Enterobacterales; Enterobacteriaceae.